CAUGCUCGCUAGGAUGUCACAUCCUAUGCAUACGUAUCUCCUUGGACGAAGGAGAAUCAGAGCAUUCGUAGCUCGGCUGACACGCACACAAACAAACACAGGCAAAGGCAAACGUGGAGCCUGAAUGCCAAUCAUUGGACUUACAUCAGCAUCCGAACCAACAGACGCACACAAAGAGGCAAACGUGGAGCCUGAACGCCAAUCACUGGACUUACAUCAGCAUCCGAACCAACAAACCCACACUGGAACCCAAAUGCCACUCGAUGGACUUACAUCAGC
RNAcentral lists this long non-coding RNA (279 nucleotides) under Lathyrus oleraceus (garden pea). RNAcentral describes it as "Pisum sativum (pea) long non-coding RNA (PSAT_LNC041365)". Lineage: Eukaryota; Viridiplantae; Streptophyta; Magnoliopsida; Fabales; Fabaceae. The record is from RNAcentral.